CUAUAAUCAUCCAGGAGACUCAGGAAUGAAGCUUUUUUCUGCUCAACAGCAGGAUCCACAUGUGAAACUGGAAAUACUCUGUGUGGAGCCUCAAGGAGUCCAGUGGAUGAGACCAGGUCUAAGGAAAUAUUUCUGUGAUCUGACGCUGGAUCCAAACACAGCACACAGAAACCUCAAACUGUCUG
Molecule: non-coding RNA, 185 nt
Organism: Maylandia zebra (zebra mbuna)
Lineage: Eukaryota; Metazoa; Chordata; Actinopteri; Cichliformes; Cichlidae
Source: RefSeq, a predicted model, not a curated record